This 491-nucleotide ribosomal RNA is filed under the name uncultured bacterium. RNAcentral describes it as "partial 16S ribosomal RNA". It matches the Rfam family "Bacterial small subunit ribosomal RNA", at positions 28 to 507 of the family's 1533-position model. The record is from RNAcentral.
GAUGAACGCUGGCUACAGGCUUAACACAUGCAAGUCGAGGGGAAACGACGGGGAAGCUUGCUUCCCCGGGCGUCGACCGGCGCACGGGUGAGUAACGCGUAUCCAACCUGCCUCUGACUGAGGGAUAACCCGUCGCAAGUCGGCCUAAUACCUCAUGGCAUCGUCUGCGGGCAUCCAACGACGAUUAAAGAUUUCAUCGGUCAGGGAUGGGGAUGCGUCUGAUUAGCUUGUUGGCGGGGUAACGGCCCACCAAGGCUACGAUCAGUAGGGGUGCGGAGAGGAAGGUACCCCACAACGGAGAUGAGACACAGUCCAAAAUGGGAGGGAGGGGAGCAGAGAGGAAUAUUGGUGGAUGAGGGGGGACCUGAACCAGCCGAGUGGGGUGCAGGAGGACGGGGAUAGGGGUUGUAAACUGCUUUGGUGGGAGGAUAAAGUGAGGGACGUGUCCUGUAUUGAAGGUACCGCAUGAAUAAGGACCGGCUAAUUCCGUG